CAGGAUAGGUACUUGUUAGUUAAGUUUUUCAUUUACACUGAAAAUGACUGUGCAAUUCGGAGUGUCUUGA
RNAcentral lists this transfer RNA (70 nucleotides) under Proscopia sp. HS-2014. RNAcentral describes it as "tRNA-Val". Lineage: Eukaryota; Metazoa; Arthropoda; Insecta; Orthoptera; Proscopiidae. The record is from RNAcentral.